This is a non-coding RNA of Mycena latifolia, 93 nucleotides long. The record is from the annotation of a GenBank genome assembly. NCBI's taxonomy places the organism in Eukaryota, Fungi, Basidiomycota, Agaricomycetes, Agaricales, Mycenaceae.
GGUCUGGUGGUGUAGUGGUAACACACCUGCUUUACAUAUACGCAGUUUUCUGCUUUCAGUAGGAGAUUCCUUGUUCGACUCAAGGUCAGGCCA